RNAcentral lists this unclassified non-coding RNA (224 nucleotides) under plant metagenome. RNAcentral's name for it is "partial contains small subunit ribosomal RNA, internal transcribed spacer 1, and 5.8S ribosomal RNA". The record is from RNAcentral.
UCUCCGUUGGUGAACCAGCGGAGGGAUCAUUACAGGACUCGCAAGACUCCCUCACCCUGUGAACCUCACUACAAGCACGUUGCUUCGGCGGGUGUCCCGGCGGGGGUUUUCCCUCGCCGGGGCGCACAGCCCGCCGGCAGCCUACUAUACUCUGUCUCUUUGCGUUGGCAUCUCGAGAAAAAACAAACAAGUUAAAACUUUCAACAACGGAUCUCUUGGUUCUG